Molecule: ribosomal RNA, 253 nt
Filed under: uncultured bacterium
Lineage: Bacteria
Description: partial 16S ribosomal RNA
Rfam family: Bacterial small subunit ribosomal RNA
Source: RNAcentral
UACGAAGGGGGCUAGCGUUGCUCGGAAUCACUGGGCGUAAAGCGCACGUAGGCGGCUUUCUAAGUCAGGGGUGAAAUCCUGGAGCUCAACUCCAGAACUGCCUUUGAUACUGGAGAGCUUGAGUCCGGAAGAGGUGAGUGGAACUCCGAGUGUAGAGGUGAAAUUCGUAGAUAUUCGGAAGAACACCAGUGGCGAAGGCGGCUCACUGGUCCGGUACUGACGCUGAUGUGCGAAAGCGUGGGGAGCAAAAAGG